GGAGAAGGCGGCGGGCGCGGAGCUCCGGCAGGGCGCGCUGGUGCCGCUCACCGCCAUCUGCCUGGUGAAUCUCUUCCUAACUGGGAAAAUAGAAAGUGCUGUUACCUCGUUAGUUGCAGGUUUUCCCUGGAAAAUUUUGAGAUACUUCAGCUAUGAAACAUUCUGGGCUUGUAAUCUUGGGUUAUUCUGUCUUCUGGAAAUGCAGUUUGGAUGGUGGAAAGUAAAUAUAGAGGAUUAUUGCAGUGGUGUAAGUCACCAGCACCCCUGGUUUUUCCUGAGUUUUGCAGGGAGGGCAGAGGAGACUAGUACA
Molecule: long non-coding RNA, 310 nt
Filed under: Crocodylus porosus (Australian saltwater crocodile)
Lineage: Eukaryota; Metazoa; Chordata; Crocodylia; Crocodylidae
Description: lncRNA (ENSCPRG00005004348.1)
Source: RNAcentral